RNAcentral lists this ribosomal RNA (1488 nucleotides) under uncultured bacterium. RNAcentral describes it as "bacterial SSU rRNA". It matches the Rfam family "Bacterial small subunit ribosomal RNA". The record is from RNAcentral.
AGAGUUUGAUCCUGGCUCAGGAUGAACGCUGGCGGUAUGCCUAACACAUGCAAGUCGAACGGGACUUUUCGGAGUCCAGUGGCGGACGGGUGAGUAACGCGUGAGAAUCUGGCCUCAGGUUCGGGACAACCACUGGAAACGGUGGCUAAUACCGGAUGUGCCUGUGGGUGAAAGAUUAAUUGCCAGAGGAGGAGCUCGCGCCUGAUUAGCUAGUUGGUGGGGUAAGAGCCUACCAAGGCGACGAUCAGUAGCUGGUCUGAGAGGACGAGCAGCCACACUGGGACUGAGACACGGCCCAGACUCCUACGGGAGGCAGCAGUGGGGAAUUUUCCGCAAUGGGCGAAAGCCUGACGGAGCAAUACCGCGUGAGGGAGGAAGGCCCUUGGGUUGUAAACCUCUUUUCUCAGGGAAGAAGUUUUGACGGUACCUGAGGAAUCAGCAUCGGCUAACUCCGUGCCAGCAGCCGCGGUAAUACGGAGGAUGCAAGCGUUAUCCGGAAUGAUUGGGCGUAAAGCGUCCGUAGGUGGCUGGUUCAAGUCGGCUGUCAAAGACUGGGGCUUAACCCUAGAAAGGCAGUGGAAACUGAACAGCUAGAGUGCGGUAGGGGCAGAGGGAAUUCCUGGUGUAGCGGUGAAAUGCGUAGAGCUCAGGAAGAACACCGGUGGCGAAAGCGCUCUGCUGGACCGCAACUGACACUCACAGGACGAAAGCUAGGGGAGCGAAUGGGAUUAGAUACCCCAGUAGUCCUAGCCGUAAACGAUGGAUACUAGACGUGGCUCGCAUCGACCCGAGCCGUGUCGUAGCUAACGCGUUAAGUAUCCCGCCUGGGGAGUACGCGCGCAAGCGUGAAACUCAAAGGAAUUGACGGGGGCCCGCACAAGCGGUGGAGUAUGUGGUUUAAUUCGAUGCAACGCGAAGAACCUUACCAGGGCUUGACAUGUCCGGAACCUUUUGGAAACAAAAGGGUGCCUACGGGGGCCGGAACACGGGUGGUGCAUGGCUGUCAUCAGCUCGUGUCGUGAGAUGUUGGGUUAAGCCCCGCAACGAGCGCAACCCUCGUGCUUAGUUGCCAGCGGAAGUAUUGCCGGGCACUCUAAGCAGACUGCCGGUGAUAAACCGGAGGAAGGUGGGGAUGACGUCAAGUCAUCAUGCCCCUUACGUCCUGGGCUACACACGUACUACAAUGCGACGGACAAAGGGAAGCAAAACAGCGAUGUCAAGCAAAUCUCAUAAACCGUGGCGUAGUUCAGAUCGCAGGCUGCAACUCGCCUGCGUGAAGGUGGAAUCGCUAGUAAUCCCAGAUCAGCACGCUGGGGUGAAUACGUUCCCGGGCCUUGUACACACCGCCCGUCACACCAUGGGAGCUGGUUUUGCCCGAAGUCGUUACUCCAACCUGAAAAGGAGGGGGACGCCGAAGGCAGGGCUGGUGACUGGGGUGAAGUCGUAACAAGGUAGCCGUACCGGAAGGUGUGGCUGGAUCACCUCCUU